AUGUACAUGCAUACAAUUUUAAUUCAUUGGAACCCAUCAAAACUCCACAAUUAAGCGUGCUUGGGAUAGAGUAGUACUAGGAUGUGUGACCUCUUGAGAAGUCCUAGUGUUUUACAUG
Picea glauca (white spruce) is the source of this 118-nucleotide non-coding RNA. The record is from Rfam. Lineage: Eukaryota; Viridiplantae; Streptophyta; Pinopsida; Pinales; Pinaceae.